This is a long non-coding RNA of Acanthopagrus latus (yellowfin seabream), 1300 nucleotides long. RefSeq lists it as uncharacterized. The transcript has 2 exons. Lineage: Eukaryota; Metazoa; Chordata; Actinopteri; Spariformes; Sparidae. The record is from RefSeq and is a predicted model, not a curated record.
UUGUAUUCACAGUGUAUAAACUUUAAUUUUGACUAACCUCAAGUUUUAUUGUUCUGAUGCCUCGAGGUCACCAUCAUGCAACCAAAUCAGCUCGUGCCAACGCAACAAGAAAUAAAACGCUCGCAUGAAAACUUACACUUUACGCACAAUCCCCGUGCGUAAAGAGCCAUGCGUAAAAGUCAUUUGAAAUGUAAUUUCUCCAUUUUGAUGAUUUAUUAGAGAACUAGAUGUCUGAUUUUUGCAUUAUCAAAACAAUAAACUAAAGACAGAAAGUGACAAAUCUUGACAUAAACAACAAAUGAGAACAAAUUUAAAGCAUUUAUAAUCGUGAUAUUUUAAACUUUCCUUUGAAAUUUCAUGCGACUCUAAAUUGUGAGUCCAUGCUGAUGUUUUAGCACAUUAGUUUCCUUUAUACCCCAUUAUAAUCAAAUAAGAUAAUAAACGGAUUCCUGGUGAUAUCUGAAGGCUGAUAUGUUACAGGACUGGAGGGAAUUUGAGUUUGAGUUGGCACGCCUGCCCAUCUGUCUUUCUGGUGCAUGAGUGAACCAGAACCUGCAACAACUUCUGGUGCCAAAUUGAUAAAUCAGAGCCUUCAACUUCUUCUGUUCUCUGCGCGCUCACUUACGGCGAGUGCCGACACUUCACCAUCCACGCAUGGCGCCUUUACAUUUGUCAGUCGGCCACGCGGGGUGAAGGUGUAACGAGGGUUAUUAACAUUUCGCAUUCGCACCUCCACGACACAACAGACCACGCGUGCCAUUUGGGCAGCUGUCUCGUGCUGGCGCGCCGUUUAGCGCCACAGUUGUUCCACAUUUGCUCGUGCGGAUCCUUUGAUGCCGCCAGGCGACCGUGGGAACGCUGAGUGACGGCGACGGCGCACACGUCUCAUCUUUUGUGGAUCCUGAGCUGGAGCUCGAGGUCCCUCGGGGGUCGUUAGCUGAUUAAGAUUAAUUAACAGCCUUGAUUGCGUUAUAGCUCGGGCGCAUCACUGUAACACCAGCACUUUAUCUCAGCCUGACCUUUUGGCUAAUUAAGAGGAAGGAGCGGCCUAUUCAUGCGUAAAACGAGGCCUUAUUUCGUAUCAAGGGAAUCUUUAACAUCUGCUGAUCGAUCCUUGCACCGACACACUGGACAACAACAUGCUGUCCACAGUUUUCACUGGAAGCGUCUCUUCAUCGGAGACCUGUGAAUCAUCCAGAGUCACCGGGUCACUGUAGCUGGAAAGACACAUUUGUAUAUUUCUAAACUUAGUUUUUGUGAGAGCCAGAAAUUAAAGGAAUAAUUCACCCAAAACUGAAAA